AUACGUAGGUGGCAAGCGUUGUCCGGAUUUAUUGGGCGUAAAGCGAGCGCAGGCGGUCUUUUAAGUCUGAUGUGAAAGCCCCCGGCUUAACCGGGGAGGGUCAUUGGAAACUGGGAGACUUGAGUGCAGAAGAGGAAAGCGGAAUUCCUAGUGUAGCGGUGAAAUGCGUAGAGAUUAGGAAGAACACCAGUGGCGAAGGCGACUUUCUGGACAAUAACUGACGCUGAGGCUCGAAAGCGUGGGGAGCAAACAGGAUUAGAUACCCUGGUAGUCCACGCCGUAAACGAUGAGUGCUAAGUGUUGGAGGGUUUCCGCCCUUCAGUGCUGCAGCAAACGCAUUAAGCACUCCGCCUGGGGAGUACGACCGCAAGGUUGAA
This 377-nucleotide ribosomal RNA is filed under the name uncultured bacterium. Its description in RNAcentral is "bacterial SSU rRNA". It matches the Rfam family "Bacterial small subunit ribosomal RNA", at positions 523 to 898 of the family's 1533-position model. The record is from RNAcentral.